This is an RNA transcript of Balaenoptera ricei (Rice's whale), 5560 nucleotides long. It is a transcript of the gene named molybdenum cofactor synthesis 1, with no coding region annotated. The transcript has 20 exons. Lineage: Eukaryota; Metazoa; Chordata; Mammalia; Artiodactyla; Balaenopteridae. The record is from RefSeq and is a predicted model, not a curated record.
ACCCGGGGCAGCGAGUCCCGGGCUAACGUGCUUCCGAAGCCGGCUACCCCGUGUAGUCUCGCCCGGGCCGACAGACUUCAUGGCGGCCCAGCCAGUGUCCCGGAUGCUGCGGCGGGUCCUGAGGUCCAGCGUCCGGAGCUGCAGCUCGGGCGCUCCGGUGACGCAGCCACAACCCGGGGAGCCCUCCCAACCUGCCGUGGAGCCCCUGUUGUCGCAGGUGCCGUCCGGACGGAGGCGGUUCCUGAGGGAGCAUGCAGCCCCCUUCUCUGCCUUCCUCACCGACAGCUUCGGCCGGCGCCACAGCUACCUGCGGAUCUCCCUCACUGAGAAGUGCAACCUCAGAUGUCAAUACUGCAUGCCCGAGGACGGUGUCCCUCUGACCCCCAAGGCAGACCUGCUGACCACAGAGGAGAUCCUAACCCUGGCCCGCCUCUUUGUGAAAGAAGGCGUAGACAAGAUCCGACUCACGGGCGGGGAGCCGCUCAUUCGGCCGGACGUGGUGGACAUCGUGGCACAGCUCCACCAGCUGGAAGGGCUGAGGACCAUUGGCAUCACCACCAACGGCAUCAGCCUAGCCCGGCUGCUGCCUCAGCUUCAGAAAGCUGGUCUCAGUGCCAUCAACAUCAGCCUGGACACGCUGGUACCAGCCAAGUUUGAGUUCAUCGUCCGCAGGAAAGGCUUCCGCAAGGUCAUGGAGGGCAUCCACAAGGCCAUUGAGCUGGGCUACAGUCCUGUGAAGGUGAACUGUGUGGUGAUGCGAGGCCUGAAUGAGGACGAACUCCCGGACUUCGUGGCCUUGACCGAGGGCCUUCCCCUGGACGUGCGCUUCAUAGAGUACAUGCCCUUUGACGGCAACAAGUGGAACUUCAGGAAGAUGGUCAGCUACAAGGAGAUGCUGGACACCCUCAGGCAGCAGUGGCCGGAGCUGGAGAAGCUGCCGGAGGAGGAAUCCAGCACAGCCAAGGCCUUUAAAAUCCCUGGCUUCCGAGGCCGAGUCAGCUUCAUCACGUCCAUGUCUGAGCAUUUCUGUGGGACCUGCAACCGCUUGCGAAUCACAGCUGACGGGAACCUCAAGGUCUGCCUCUUUGGGAACUCAGAGGUUUCUCUACGGGAUCACCUGCGGGCGGGGGCCUCUGAGGAGGAGCUGCUGAGCGUCAUCGGGGCUGCCGUGGGCAGGAAGAAGCGGCAGCAUGCAGGCAUGUUCAGUAUUUCCCAGAUGAAGAACCGGCCCAUGAUCCUCAUCGAGUUAUUUUCGAUGUGCCAAGAUUCCCCACCAGCCAUUCCAAGCAUCUCCUUCAGGGACUCCCUCCAUGUUCAGGGUCUGAGACACAGACAAGGUCAAGAGAUGGGAUGCGAUUUCAGCCGAGGGAAAGAUGUCAAGUUCCUUUCACCCCAUCACCAGUUACCUUCAACCGCUACUGUGGUCCCACCCCCAGAAAAGAUAGGCAGCUGAAGAGUGGGCCCAGCCCACCAGUCUGUCCACUGGCAAUAACCCUGAGCUGGAGGAGGAGGUCAGAAGAAAAUUUGUGUAGAUACCAGCCAUCAUCCUGCCCCACAAGGACAGCUCCUGGUGGACAGAAUGAAGAGGUGGCAUGUAACUGCAGAGGGCAGCUCUUGCCCUUGGAGCCCUCGGAACCGGUGCCCCAGGGCCAGCCUCAGCCAGACGAACGCAGUUGGAAGCGUCUCCUGCAGGCUGGACGGAGCAGGAGGUCACCGUGCCUACUGCUUGGCGGCAGAUGUCAGAGGAGUACGGGGUCCGAGUAAUGUUCAGUGGUAACCCAGGCGCUCUGGGUGGAGCUGGCCAUUCAGGUGCUGCCCCCUGGAACCCCGAACCAACGUGUGAGGUCACUGUCUCGCUUCAAGACAAUGGUCAGGUUGUACAGGGUGGGGGUGGGGAAGGAGAGUUUCAGUCCAGGGUCCCUGUGCCCAGCAUACGAGGUGUGGUGAUGAAUGGGGUCUUCUUUCUUGAACCCCUUCCCUUAGCAGAUCCAUCAAGUACCUGAUAGUGAGCCCUAAUGGGAACCCAAAGGUGAGUUUUCCGGGAUUCUGGAUUAGUAUAGGAUGGAGAUGGCAGGAGGGAAGGGAGAGAGACUUAAGACAUGCAAGAGAGGGGCCAGAGGGCUCGUGAUGUAGGAAACGGGCACUGUCACCCUGUCCUGAUGACUUGGUCCCUGCAUCAUCCUCCCAGCAUCUUUUUUUUUUUUUUUUUUUUUCCUGGAACACAUCUAGCUAGCAUAUGUCACGCCUCUUCCUUUCAAUAGGAAACUUCGCCCCAGAUCAACGUUCCAUUACGCCUACUCUUGAGAGAUGGGAGCCUGGGUGCCCCCGCCCAUUACUCCCCACGGCACGUGAAAUCUGGACAAGGGCACCCUGAGCCUCCGCCGCCCACUGCACUCUCCCCUCCCUCAGCCUUGCUCAGGCCCCGGCCCCGGCAGCACCCUCACCAUGGCCUCCAUGCGCGCCCGCCGCUCCUCCUCCUCCUUCCUCCUCCGCAUGGCCUCCAGGUCCUGCCGGGCCUCCGAGAAGGCCUGCAGGAAGGUGUCAAAGAUGCCGAAGAAUUCAUCCGGCUGCAUCUUGCUGUCCUGCUCCCCAAAGUGCAUCAGGGCCUUGGAGAACUGUCGAAGAGAAGGGUCGGUGAAGAGUCACCCCCGAGCCUGGUGGGCAGUUGAGUUCCAGCCAGAGCAGAGUUCAUCCAGCUGGGCAACCCUGGGCAAGUUACUUAACGUCUCUGGAUCUCAGUGCACGUAUCUGUGGAAUGGGAUAAUAGCCUUUCAACAAGCCCAGAAGCUCCUGAGGAGGGAGAGCCAAGUGCUGGUCGGACCAGUGCCAGGACAAGAGUCAGGGAUGCUGGGACUCACCACAUCCUCCACCCUCCUUGCCAAUCGCAGGACACUGAGCCUUCCUUUGGAAGAGGGAACACCCUGAGUCUCAAAUUCUAAGGGUGGCAAAGAUUGUGAGAUCCUUCCAGAUCGGAAAUAUCAUGCUGCAUAUUGGAAGGUUUCCAACACACUGCCUCUGGCUUGGAUUUAUUUUUAUUACCAUCAGAUGCUUCUAUCAGCCUGUAUACGUUCAGGUCUGACGUCUCGCCUGUAGCAGAUGCCCCAGGAGCCCGCCACCCCACCCCCGCCAUCUCCUUGGACCAUCCGUCGUAGUGGAUAGCCCUGACUUCCAACCACUGAGCACUUUUCCUGCGGGCCAGAGCGUUACUGCCCGCCCCCAGCCAGUGAGUGACAGGAGAUGGUAGAUGAUGCCCAUCUUACCCCUUGUGGGGAUAAUGGAGUGAGUAUCCUACACUGUCUCCCACACCCUGCAGGCAGGAUUAAGCUCUGAUUGCCUGCAGUGGUAAGUGGCUUAAUAACAACCCCAUUGCCGGCAUUCUCCCCAUCCCCGUUGCAAUUCCCCACUCCCCACUUUGUUUCCUGAGAGCAUCUCUGAGAUGAGGAUUUGAGAGCAAAGACUGUCUUUUGUUGGGUUCUCCCAGAGCAAACCCUCAGAUGCUGUUCAUUCUGAGGCAGCUCAGGGUAGCCCCGAAGGAGGAAGUUACGAUGAGAGAGUGCGGGAUCACAGGGAGAAGGAAGCCUCAAGAGGACCCCUUACUUGACUUUGGCGGCUUCUGGAAGAUGCUGCAGCUCGGAGGGCAUGUUCAGGAUGUCAGGGAAAUGCUUCUCCAGGAUCAUGAUCAGAUAAUGUAGCAGAGAGAUGUUUCUGUGGGUGAAAGUCGGGUCAGGGGUACGGGGCCAAGGGAAUUGGGAACGAGGGUCCAGCGGAAACUAGGGUGAGGUGUUAGGGGAAAGUUGUGACAUAUUUUGGGAGGGUAACGGGGAGGAGGGGAGAGGCCAGGGUGGGGCGAGACGGGGGCUCCAGAAGCCGGCAGGUCCCCACCUGUCGAUGCUGGACUUGGUGUCGGCAAUCUUGUUGAGGCUGGCCACCCGGAACCCGUAGGCGCUCCCACGCUGCCCUUUGUUCAUGAAGUUGCCGAUGGCCAGGACGACCUCUAGCAUCUGCGCUAGACGCUUGCUGCGGAUCAGCUCCCGGGAAGCCAGCAGGAUGGCUGGGGGAGGAGGGACAGGUGAGAGCCCCACAUACACCAGGCCCUUGAACCCUAGGAUGAUGCCACCACAAAGUCCAGAAAAGGCGCCGUUAAGUGUCAGCUUCAGAGGGGCAGAGGCUAUGCCCACAGCCCAGCAGACGAUCUUCUCCACAUCUGCCCGCCUCCAGGGGAAGCAAACUCGCAAAAAGCCAAUUCGCCAAAUAACCCUUUCUCAAAAUGUGCCAACUCUUCCGAAGACUAUAUUGGAGAAUGUAUCUUUCCUUGCAUAUAGUUAAAGACUCUUAACAUAGAUAUAUGCAAGAAUAUAAUACUUUGGGCUUCCCUGGUGGCUCAGUGGUUAAGAAUCCGCCUGCCAAUACAGGGGACACGGGUUCAAGCCCUGGUCCGGGAAGAUCCCACAUGCUGCAGAGCAACUAAGCCCAUGCACCGCAAUGACUGAGCCUGCGCUCUAGAGCCCGCGAGCCACACCUACUGAGCCUGUGUGCCACAACUACUGGAGCCUAUGUGCCUAGAGCCCAUGUUCCGCAACAAGAGAAGCCACUGCAGUGAGAAGCCCUUGCUCGCCGCAACUAGAGAAAGCCCGCACACAGCAACGAAGACCCACGCAGCCAAAAAUAUAUAAAAUAAAUUUAUAAAAAGAAAAAAGAAUAUAAUACUUUUACUUUUCUAAACCUAGUGAUUAAAAUUUUUAAUUUCAGCAUUUUACAUACUAUGGGACUGUUUCUGCCUCUUUUGAAGUGCUGAAUUUUGUUGAUUUUUUUGGAAAGAAAAAAAUCCCUGUCAAAUUAUAACAUCAUCAAUUGCAAUAUUUUCAUAUUUUUGUUUUAUAAGAUAAUGGUGUGCUUUGCAGUUGAUGGUGUCUUAGAUUUGAUUAAAUAGGUUACUAGACAGCCUACUGAAUAUCAUUUAAAAGAAUUUUCCAACCUUUAGGCAUUUAAAAAUUUCCCUCACAAUUCCUUAAAUGAUACCUUUCUUGGAAAUACAAACUAAGACUAACAGUAACCAAAACUUCAGUAUUUCAUUCUGAUGUGGGUGCUCUGGCCCUUCCUCAGUUAUUCUGUAUUUAAUGGUGGAUGUGCAGAAUUAGGAUACAAUCCUACACUGAAAAUUUGGCUGCCACUUACUUAUAGAAUAUGAUUUUGGGUUAUUAAAUGUGGUGAGAAGAUCAAACCAUUGUAUUAUGAUCUUUGGCUUCUGCCAAAUUGAACAUUCCUUAAGAUGUUGCUAUGAAGAUUAAAUGUAAACCAUUUGACUAAAAGUUUGCAAAACUCUUCAAAAGCAGUUAAAGUAACUUAAAAAAAAGCUGUACAAAAAUGAGUAAGAGGUAAGGUUGGUCAGUGGCUUCUAAACUCAAACAUCUGCCUAUUCUGUGACCUAACAGUGGCAAUACUCUUGAUGAAUAAUUGAAUGGUUUCUAGUUUGUGUUUUUAAAAAAUUCCAUCUAGAUUGCUUAAGUAAAUUAUGGUAUAUUCAUAAAAUGGAAUAAAACGCAGCACUGAAAAUAAAUAA